Bufo bufo (common toad) is the source of this 200-nucleotide long non-coding RNA. RefSeq lists it as uncharacterized. The transcript is spliced from 3 exons. Lineage: Eukaryota; Metazoa; Chordata; Amphibia; Anura; Bufonidae. The record is from RefSeq and is a predicted model, not a curated record.
UUCAGCUGCUCACCUGGGUGCACCACCAAUGAGGCCAGGUGAGGCAAUUGCCUCAGGCAGCACCAGGUAGGGGCGAGAGGGGGGCAGUGGAAGAGCCAUAGGCAAUGAGCACUUUUAUUGUGGUAAAAGGGAUAGGUUAAGAAAUUGGCAUUGGGGGAGGGGGGGCGCCGUUUCAGUUUUUGCCUCAGGCAGCAGAAAGG